GGGAAGGUGGCUCAGUGGUAGAGCUCUUGCCUUGCAUGCAUGAGGCCCUGGGUUCGAUUCCUCAGCCCCA
This 70-nucleotide transfer RNA is filed under the name Dipodomys ordii (Ord's kangaroo rat). It matches the Rfam family "tRNA". From Rfam's summary of the family: Transfer RNA (tRNA) molecules are approximately 80 nucleotides in length. Their secondary structure includes four short double-helical elements and three loops (D, anti-codon, and T loops). Further hydrogen bonds mediate the characteristic L-shaped molecular structure. tRNAs have two regions of fundamental functional importance: the anti-codon, which is responsible for specific mRNA codon recognition, and the 3' end, to which the tRNAs corresponding amino acid is attached (by aminoacyl-tRNA synthetases). tRNAs cope with the degeneracy of the genetic code in two manners: having more than one tRNA (with a specific anti-codon) for a particular amino acid; and 'wobble' base-pairing, i.e. permitting non-standard base-pairing at the 3rd anti-codon position. Lineage: Eukaryota; Metazoa; Chordata; Mammalia; Rodentia; Heteromyidae. The record is from Rfam by way of RNAcentral.